This 327-nucleotide long non-coding RNA is filed under the name Macaca mulatta (Rhesus monkey). RNAcentral describes it as "lncRNA (ENSMMUG00000050634.1)". Lineage: Eukaryota; Metazoa; Chordata; Mammalia; Primates; Cercopithecidae. The record is from RNAcentral.
CUCAUGAUGUGCAGCCUUCAUAAAGUGAACAGAAAAGCACUGCAGGGGAAAGUCUCAAAGCCACAUAGUAAGGAAAGAGAAGCCGUUAGAUCAUCAAGAAGUGAGCUGAGACAACUUCAAGUUCAGCACCUACGGGAGUUGGAACCAAGGGAGAAGUGUCUCUUCGAAAAGUCAAAAACAGUGAGGGAGACCAAGAUGCAUAGAGCAAGAGAUGGGAUGAAACAUAUGCUGGUUUCUCAUGAAAGUUACAAAACUCUAUUGGGGUGUGUGUGUGUGUGUGUGUGUGUGUGUGUGUGUGUGUGUGUGUUUUGGGGGCAAUGCUGGUAA